UCCUGGGCCUGAGGUUUGUGUGG
RNAcentral lists this non-coding RNA (23 nucleotides) under Mus musculus (house mouse). The record is from RNAcentral. Lineage: Eukaryota; Metazoa; Chordata; Mammalia; Rodentia; Muridae.